This 251-nucleotide long non-coding RNA is filed under the name Hordeum vulgare. RNAcentral describes it as "long non-coding RNA (HVUL_LNC019252)". The record is from RNAcentral. Lineage: Eukaryota; Viridiplantae; Streptophyta; Magnoliopsida; Poales; Poaceae.
UUCUUGUCCCCUUCUUCGGGCUAAAUUGGCUAAGAAUGCCUUUUUGGAGCUAAUUGUGUCAUUUCGAGGAUAAUUAGCUAAGUAUAGGUCAUUUUGUAUUAAAUUGGCCAUUUUGGAGCUAACUAAGCUAAUUAUGUCAUUUCGUAGGAUAAUUAGCCAAUUUAGCCUUUCUGGGAUGAGUCUAAGCUACGUAGAAUAAGAGAUAGAGAAGAAGAAGUAAAAUAAGGAGGAGGAGGAGGAGAAGGAGAAGG